AAAUGGUCUUGGUACUGAACCUGACUGAUAAUGUAUUUGGUGUAUCUUUUCUGUAGAAUUAGUACCAGAGUUCUAUUUGUAUUAUUAAUUGUGUAGAGCUGAUAAUUAGACCAUAGAGUCGCUGUUGAUUUGGUUUAUUCCUUGGCAGAUCAUUUAAGUACUUUAUCUUAUUACAAAAACUGAACGAAAAUAUAGCAGCAAUACAUUUCAUGACAUAGUGUUAUCCGUGCAAGAAAAUUGCUUGAUUGAUUAUUAAUAAAUGUAAGCAAUCUAUCAUGUAGGUUUUGUUCGAUCCUACACUUAAAGAAAAUCAUACUGAAGAUCUGAGCUUAAGUGUUCCAACAGCUGAAGCACCAGCUCAAGAUGAAGGGAAUCUCUUAAUAUGAUUGUAGAUCCAUUCCCGUAAAGUGCAGUUAGAAUAUGGAAUCCACCUCGAACUCGGUUUAAAAACAGAAAGCAUAUGGAAUUUUGCUCUAUCAGGUAGCAAUUUGGUUGUUCAAUCCAUCCAUAGUUACAUUUGAAGAUAUAUUGUUGAAUUUCCUUAUUUUGUGAAUACAAGUCUGAACUUUUAGGACAUCUGGCACAUGAGUUUGAACCAUCCAAUUAUAGUGCUACUAAUUUUGGGUCACUACAUCAUGCAAUACUACGGAUGCUGUUCAACAUGGCAAAGUUGGAUUUUUUUAUUCUUUUUUCAGAUUAGAAUCACUUUAGCAAUGCCAUAUAGAUAAUACAAGAUGUGGCAAAGUGUUGCAUUCAAUAGAGAUUACAGUGAUAAAUUGGUGAAAUUAGUUUGCUCUCUGAUCUCUGUUAGCUUUAACUCGCUAGGAAGCCAUGUAGUCCUAUUUUUAGUACUAGGAGGAGAACGUAUAUUAAAUAUAUGCCAUCCAGGGAAUUGAUCUCUGUUGUGCUGGGGCAAACUAAACCAGAGCAAGCACUUACUCAAGGCAAGGAGCAGUGCUCAUACUUGCUCAUGGUUGAGGUAGAUUCAGGUUAAAUUUUAUGUGUUGAUUCCCUUCUCUUUCACAUGUCUAGGUCUUUGUGCCUGAUCAAGCUGUUCUUUGACAAGUAUUAUCUUUGAGUGAUGCCAUGUUGGUAAUAAAAUACUAUAUAACUCACAUUUCUUAUAUGUUCCUUUUUCAUUUUUGUCCUUUCAUUUGAAAGCUCAUAUGGUCAAUUUUGGAGGCGACUACAUGUAUAUACUGCUGAUGUUACAUGUAAACAAAUUCGAUGCUUUCAUGCAUAUGACCGUGCACAUCACCGAACCCUUUCCAUUCUAUUGCAAGGUCAAAUAGUUUUUCGUGUUCUAACUCUUUGGGAUAGUCUGCUGUUAUUUGGUUCAUCGUCGCGCCUCAAGUUUCCAACAGCGCCGUGGCUAUACACCGUCGACUUCGCCGGAAAUCCUUCUGCACAUACUCUACUGUCCGCCGAAACUUUGUCUGACCUGAGUUAUUUGGCUCAUCUUCACGCCUCAAGUUUCCGACAGCGCCGUGGCUGUACACCGCCGACUUCGCCGGAAAUCUGUCUGCACAUACUCUACUAUCCGCCGAAACUUCGUCUGACCUGAGCUGAUGGGGAUGAGAUGUGACCCCGCUGCUGGGCGUCGCAAAUGCCACUGCUCCAAUGUGUGCCCCAGCUUCGGUGAUGUACGGGCGAGGCAACACAAUUUGGAGCAGUGACCCUCCUUCCAAGAAAUCAAGUUUUUUCGUUCAGAUUUUAGAGCUCGAGUUUCAGCUUAGUUCAAGGAUAGAAAAGCAUAGUCCUUAUGGAUUCAACAAGGAAGACCAUUAGCCGCCACCUUUUCAGAAUUGGAUGGUGUGGUGCACCUUCAUCCUGCUGUCCAAUUCCUUAGCUUAUUUGCUUUAACUGUACUACAGUUAUAUAGCAGGAUAAGGAUCCAAUCUUGUGAUGCCUCUCCAUUUGCACCAUCGUCAAAAGUUGCACAUGAGUUGAUUCAGACUUUCAGAAUUCAUAGAACACCUAGAGUUAAUCGGCCUGAAGGUAUAUCAUAUCCUAAGGGAAGGGGACCCGGUUCAGAUUUGUCACUACUAUGUGCUGUUGGAUAGCCAUGGUAUGUAUUAGUUUUGUUUUACCACAGUUUGAUUCUUGGGAGUUGGGAUAUCAGGUGUAUACAUUACUUUUCUUAUGAAUUUGUUCUCUUUUAGUGCACUAUCUAUCUAUCUAAUCUAUCUAUCGAACUUUGCAAAGAAAUAGAUGGCGACGGCUCAGCGGCGUCGUGGUGAAUGGCGAAGCUUCUCAAAUGGACGGAAGAGAGGUGGUGACGCGCGGCUGGGAGACGUACAUAUUUAACGAAAUACGAUUCAUAAGGUUUCAUAUUAACAAAAAAUGAUGGUCUUUGUAGAGUAAUAUGAACAUUUUGUUGAUUCCAGGACAACUUUAUUCUCCAAUACGAAUCUGUAAGAAAAGAUAUGACAUACAUUUGUGCAAAUUGAUAAUGUAAGCUCAUCUCGAAACUUUAUUCUUU
Triticum aestivum (bread wheat) is the source of this 2482-nucleotide long non-coding RNA. RefSeq lists it as uncharacterized. Lineage: Eukaryota; Viridiplantae; Streptophyta; Magnoliopsida; Poales; Poaceae. The transcript is spliced from 3 exons. The record is from RefSeq and is a predicted model, not a curated record.